ACCUACGGGGGGCAGCAGUCGGGAAUAUUGCGCAAUGGAGGAAACUCUGACGCAGUGACGCCGCGUGCAGGAAGAAGGUUUUCGGAUUGUAAACUGCUUUAGACAGGGAAGAAACAAGACAGUACCUGUAGAAUAAGCUCCGGCUAACUACGUGCCAGCAGCCGCGGUAAUACGUAGGGGGCAAGCGUUAUCCGGAUUUACUGGGUGUAAAGGGAGCGUAGACGGCUGUGCAAGUCUGAAGUGAAAGGCAAGGGCUCAACCUUUGGACUGCUUUGGAAACUGUGCAGCUAGAGUGUCGGAGAGGC
This 305-nucleotide ribosomal RNA is filed under the name uncultured bacterium. RNAcentral's name for it is "bacterial SSU rRNA". It matches the Rfam family "Bacterial small subunit ribosomal RNA", at positions 337 to 658 of the family's 1533-position model. The record is from RNAcentral.